GUCUGGGUUCUGAAAGGGAAAAACACCCCUGGCACUCAGGCCUUUGGCUACCUCCUUUUCGCCGGGAGGGACGGAGGAUGCCUCGGAUUGCUCUGGGGCUGGGGAACAGGAGGACAGCGCUCUCGGGAGGGGCGAGGGGGUGCCUGUCCUCCUCAGUCCCUCUUACUUUAGGGGACCGGACUGUCGCGCUCCCACCCCACCCCAGGCGCAGGUUCCUGAAGGCGGGCUGGGUGGGUCUCCAGGUUUCCAGAGGGCUGGUUGCGUAGCAGGGAGAAAAAUCAAGACGUUACACCCCACUCCUCCCGUUUUAAAUACUGAUUCAGCUCGGAGCUAGGCUGAAGGCACCGUCAAGCCUCCCUGGAAUGGUACUCAUCAGAUCGUGGAUUGAGGGAUGAAGGAGGAUUUUACCUCACUUGUUUUCAGAGACUCUUUUAACUGCAUUUUAUUAAUGCUUUUGAAGAUUAGAAGAUAUUUUGCCUUCUGGAGUUUCUCUGACUUGCUUGAUGAUGAUUUAAGCUCAAAGCUGCCAGUUUAGGGGAGAUGAUCAAUAAGCCCUUGUAACAUCUGAG
Leptonychotes weddellii (Weddell seal) is the source of this 569-nucleotide non-coding RNA. The record is from RefSeq and is a predicted model, not a curated record. Lineage: Eukaryota; Metazoa; Chordata; Mammalia; Carnivora; Phocidae.